Molecule: small RNA, 16 nt
Filed under: Arabidopsis thaliana (thale cress)
Lineage: Eukaryota; Viridiplantae; Streptophyta; Magnoliopsida; Brassicales; Brassicaceae
Description: ATSL024520
Source: RNAcentral
AAGAAGAAAGAAAAAA